Molecule: long non-coding RNA, 210 nt
Filed under: Elaeis guineensis (African oil palm)
Lineage: Eukaryota; Viridiplantae; Streptophyta; Magnoliopsida; Arecales; Arecaceae
Description: long non-coding RNA (EGUI_LNC010997)
Source: RNAcentral
GGCAACAUGUUGAUGAACGUCAGAAGCUGAGACUCGUGCUGUCGAAUGCAUAGCUGCAAUCAAAAGGCAAAAGUUCAGUUACAAAGUUCGAAAGUAAAUGAAAAAUAAAAUAACCGACUAUGCUAUAUCUAAAGAAGUCACCGAACUAAGUCUGAUGUCAUAGAGAGCUUGCUCUGUCAUUAGCUCUUGCUGUGCUGGGACUUUCAUAUC